Molecule: ribosomal RNA, 219 nt
Filed under: uncultured bacterium
Lineage: Bacteria
Description: partial 16S ribosomal RNA
Rfam family: Bacterial small subunit ribosomal RNA
Source: RNAcentral
UACGGAGGGUGCAAGCGUUGUCCGGAUUUAUUGGGUUUAAAGGGUGCGUAGGCGGCCCUGUAAGUCAGUGGUGAAAUACUGCAGCUUAACUGUAGCAUUGCCAUUGAUACUGUAGGGCUUGAGUACAGAUGAGGUAGGCGGAAUUGAUGGUGUAGCGGUGAAAUGCAUAGAUACCAUCAAGAACACCGAUUGCGAAGGCAGCUUACUAAGCUGUAACAU